RNAcentral lists this ribosomal RNA (456 nucleotides) under uncultured bacterium. Its description in RNAcentral is "bacterial SSU rRNA". It matches the Rfam family "Bacterial small subunit ribosomal RNA", at positions 35 to 519 of the family's 1533-position model. The record is from RNAcentral.
GCUGGCGGCGCGCCUAACACAUGCAAGUCGAGCGGUAACAGGGGUAAUUUAUUACCUGCUGACGAGCGGCGGACGGCUGAGUAACGCGUGGGAACGUACCCCAAAGCGAGGAAUAACUGCCCGAAAGGGUGGCUAAUGCCGCAUAUGAUCUUCGGAUUAAAGGAUUUAUCCGCUUUGGGAACGGCCUGCGUAUGAUUAGAUAGUUGGUGAGGUAAAGGCUCACCAAGUCUACGAUCAUUAAUUGGUCUGAGAGGAUGACCAGUCAGACUGGAACUGAGACACGGUCCAGACUCCUACGGGAGGCAGCAGUGAGGAAUCUUCCACAAUGGGCGAAAGCCUGAUGGAGCGACGCCGCGUGCAGGAUGAAGGCCUUCGGGUUGUAAACUGCUUUUAAAAGUGAAGAAUAUGACGGUAGCUUUUGAAUAAGCACCGGCUAACUACGUGUCUGUGUACGUG